AAACCCACAGCAAAAUGUCUGGGCUGAGAACACAUGACUGCGUGUCCCUUAUGUCCCUUGGAACCUCGCGCAGGAGGAGGUCUCUGGGAGUGGCUCCUUCCAGCCCCGAAUUGGAGGAGUCGGGUCAGCCGCGAUGCUCCGGAGAAGCAGGUGGCCCCCACGAGGUGCCGGGGACCACAGACGCACCUUCUCUCCCCCUCACAGCAAAGCUGCGCGAGGUGCAGGAGCGUCCUCCUGCGUCCGUCCCUCUGCUGUCAGCUGGCCCCGCGGAGGGGAUGGUGCGGACGGCGGCAGGGAGGGCACGCAUCGUGGCCACACGAGGCGCCCGGGUGGAUAAGGAACCACUUGUGCUGCCCACGUGCCGCGCAGGUCGGGAUCGUACGAACACUCGGACGCAGGAAAAGCCCACGCUGGGAGCGCCCGGAAGGGUCUUCAACACCACCAAGAUUUUAAAUCUACAUUUGAGAGAGUUUUAGCCAGAUUCACGGAGGGUCAGGUCCCAGCUGUUUCCAGUUAUCGACACGGUAACGUCCAUACGUGAGCCGGUGACGACCAAACAGUUGAGGAAGGAACGAGGAGGAAAAGCCGGCGUCCCCAGCACCCGCCGGCUCAGCUCAGCUCAGCUGCCUCCUGUUUCUGGGUCUUCGCCUGAGUUGCCCCUGAGCUCCAGAGGCAACACACCGAUUUCAGGGGUUGCUCUGCACUGCUGACUCGUCUGCUGACGCCCGCCCGCUCCCAUCUUUGCUCAUUAUUGUUUUUGUUGCUUUUAAAACUUUAGGCAGGUUUAUGCGACUUCUACCCAGUUUAUAAUACAUCAUGAACUGGAUUAUGUGGGCACUGUCGUAUUUGUGUGUAUGCUGAAAAUUAUACAUUCCAUCCUUUCUUAACUAUUUCUCCUUUUUAAGUUUAUGUAUUUAUCUUGAGACGGGGCGGGGGUGGGGCACAGAGAGAGAGAAUCCCAAGCAGGCUCCACACUGUCAACACAGAGCCCGACGUGGGGCUCGAAUCCACUCGCCGGGAGAUCACGACCCGAGCCGAAACCAAGAGUCGGACACCCAACCGACCGAGCCCCCCCAGGCGCCCCGUUGUAACUAUUUCCAAGUGCCUGGUUUAGUGGUCGUGAGUAACAGCACUGCCGUCCGUCCCCAGGACGUGUCCACCUUCCCAAACUGAGACCUUGCGUCCACGUGGGACACUAACUGCCCAUCCCCCUCUCGUUUUUGGGUGACCCGCUUUUUGGGUGACCUGGUGAACGGGUUGGAGUGACCCACGCGGGGACUGUUUUCUCCAAACUCCGAGGAAGCGCACACGGUGUUGUAGGAGGUCAGGUGUGCCAGCUUCCCCUCCCCCUUGGAAGGGCGUCUCAGCACGCCCGUGCCGCUGGGCCCCCGGGGUGGCACUGCCCAUGAACGUGUUUUCAGAAAAUCGUUUCGUUGUGGUAAAAUACCCGUGACAUAAAAUUCGCCAUCCUAACCG
This 1476-nucleotide long non-coding RNA is filed under the name Felis catus (domestic cat). RNAcentral describes it as "lncRNA (ENSFCAG00000043584.2)". The record is from RNAcentral. Lineage: Eukaryota; Metazoa; Chordata; Mammalia; Carnivora; Felidae.